UACGGAGGGUGCGAGCGUUGUUCGGAAUCACUGGGCGUAAAGGGCGUGUAGGCGGUCCGCUAAGUCUGAUGUGAAAGCCCGGGGCUCACCCCCGGAAGGGCAUUGGAAACUGGCGGACUCGAGUCCCGGAGAGGAAGGUGGAAUUCCUGGUGUAGCGGUGAAAUGCGUAGAUAUCAGGAGGAAUACCAGAGGCGAAGGCGGCUACCUGGACAAUUGCUGACGCUCAGGCACGAAAGCGUGGGGAGCAAAAGGG
Molecule: ribosomal RNA, 253 nt
Filed under: uncultured bacterium
Lineage: Bacteria
Description: partial 16S ribosomal RNA
Rfam family: Bacterial small subunit ribosomal RNA
Source: RNAcentral